Molecule: ribosomal RNA, 271 nt
Filed under: uncultured bacterium
Lineage: Bacteria
Description: partial 16S ribosomal RNA
Rfam family: Bacterial small subunit ribosomal RNA
Source: RNAcentral
GUCCACGCCCUAAACGGUGGGUACUAGGUGUAGGGCUCGUAAGGGUUCUGUGCCGAAGGGAAACCAUUAAGUACCCCGCCUGGGAAGUACGGCCGCAAGGUUGAAACUCAAAGGAAUUGACGGGGGCCCGCACAAGCGGUGGAGCAUGUGGUUUAAUUCGACGCAACGCGAAGAACCUUACCUGGGGUUUUGACAUGUAGGUAGUAGGGAGAUGAAAGUCAACCGAUUCGUAGCAAUACGAAAGCCUAUGCAGGUGCUGCAUGGCUGUCGU